CGAACGCUGGCGGCAUGCCUAACACAUGCAAGUCGAACGAGACCUUCGGGUCUAGUGGCGCACGGGUGCGUAACACGUGGGAAUUUGCCUCGGGGUAUGGAAUAACUCAGGGAAACUUGAGCUAAUACCAUAUAAUGUCUUCGGACCAAAGAUUUAUCGCCCUGAGAUAAGCCCGCGUAGGAUUAGCUAGUUGGUGAGGUAAAGGCCUACCAAGGCGACGAUCCAUAGCUGGUCUGAGAGGAUGAUCAGCCACACUGGGACUGAGACACGGCCCAGACUCCUACGGGAGGCAGCAGUGGGGAAUAUUGGACAAUGGGCGAAAGCCUGAUCCAGCAAUGCCGCGUGAGUGAUGAAGGCCUUAGGGUUGUAAAGCUCUUUACCCGAGAUGAUAAUGACAGUAUCGGGAGAAUAAGCUCCGGCUAACUCCGUG
This 430-nucleotide ribosomal RNA is filed under the name uncultured bacterium. RNAcentral describes it as "bacterial SSU rRNA". It matches the Rfam family "Bacterial small subunit ribosomal RNA", at positions 30 to 507 of the family's 1533-position model. The record is from RNAcentral.